GACGAACGCUGGCGGCGUGCCUAAUACAUGCAAGUCGAACGAGAGCGACCGGUGCUUGCACUGGUCAAUCUAGUGGCGAACGGGUGAGUAACACGUGGGUAACCUGCCCAUCAGAGGGGGAUAACAUCCGGAAACGGAUGCUAAAACCGCAUAGGUCUUCGAGCCGCAUGGCUUGAAGAGGAAAAGAGGCGCAAGCUUCUGCUGAUGGAUGGACCCGCGGUGCAUGAGCUAGUUGGUGAGGUAACGGCUCACCAAGGCCGUGAUGCAUAGCCGACCUGAGGGGGUGAUCGGCCACAUUGGGACUGAGACACGGCCCAAACUCCUACGGGAGGCAGCAGUAGGGAAUCUUCCGCAAUGGACGCAAGUCUGACGGAGCAACGCCGCGUGAGUGAAGAAGGUUUUCGGAUCGUAAAACUCUGUUGUUAGAGAAGAACAAGUGCUAGAGUAACUGUUAGCGCCUUGACGGUAUCUAACCAGAAAGCCACGGCUAACUACGUG
This 498-nucleotide ribosomal RNA is filed under the name uncultured bacterium. RNAcentral describes it as "partial 16S ribosomal RNA". It matches the Rfam family "Bacterial small subunit ribosomal RNA", at positions 28 to 507 of the family's 1533-position model. The record is from RNAcentral.